UGGUGGAGUGAUUUGUCUGGUUAAUUCCGUUAACGAACGAGACCCCCGCCUGCUAAAUAACUUUGCUAAUGCUUUUGUAUUGGUUGGAGUUUCUUAGAGGGACUUUCGGUGACUAACUGAAGGAAGUUGGGGGCGAAUAACA
This 142-nucleotide ribosomal RNA is filed under the name uncultured eukaryote. RNAcentral's name for it is "partial 18S ribosomal RNA". It matches the Rfam family "Eukaryotic small subunit ribosomal RNA", at positions 1299 to 1453 of the family's 1831-position model. The record is from RNAcentral.